Molecule: ribosomal RNA, 460 nt
Filed under: uncultured bacterium
Lineage: Bacteria
Description: partial 16S ribosomal RNA
Rfam family: Bacterial small subunit ribosomal RNA
Source: RNAcentral
CCUACGGGUGGCUGCAGUGAGGAAUAUUGGUCAAUGGACUCACGUCUGAACCAGCCAUGCCGCGUGCAGGAAGACGGCUCUAUGGGUUGUAAACUGCUUUUGUCCGAGGGUAAACGCAGCUACGCGUAUCUGUCUGAAAGUAUCGUACGAAUAAGGCUCGGCUAAAUCCGUUCCCGCAGCCGGCGGAAUACGGAGGAUUGCAGCGUUUUCCGGAUUUAUUGGGUUUAAAGGGUGCGUAGGCGGUCGGACAAGUUCGAGGGGAAAUCCCGGGGCUCAACUUCGGAAUUGCCUCUGAUACUGUUCGGCUAGAGAGGGGGUGCGGUAGGCGGAAUGUAUGGUGUAGCGGUGAAAUGCAUAGAGAUCAUACAGAACACCGAUUGCGAAGGCAGUACACUGGAGUGCAACUGACACUGAGGCUCGAAAGUGUGGGUAUCAAACAGGAUUAGAUACCCUGGUAGUC